This 193-nucleotide microRNA precursor is filed under the name Podarcis lilfordi (Lilford's wall lizard). The record is from RNAcentral. Lineage: Eukaryota; Metazoa; Chordata; Lepidosauria; Squamata; Lacertidae.
AACUAUGUUUGUUAUUGGUAUGAGCUUUUGUGUGCAUGCACACUUCUUCAGAUACCAAAUAAAAAAAUUCCUUCCAGUAGCACCUUAGAGACCAACUAAGUUUGUUUUUGGUAUGAGCUUUCAUGUGCAUGCACACUUAUCUGAAGAAGUUUGCAUGCACACGAAAGCUCAUACCAAUAACAAACUUAGUUGG